This 499-nucleotide ribosomal RNA is filed under the name uncultured Glomeromycotina. RNAcentral describes it as "SSU rRNA". It matches the Rfam family "Eukaryotic small subunit ribosomal RNA", at positions 591 to 1092 of the family's 1831-position model. The record is from RNAcentral. Lineage: Eukaryota; Fungi; Glomeromycota.
CCAAUAGCGUAUAUUAAAGUUGCUGCAGUUAAAAAGCUCGUAGUUGAAUUUCGGGACCAUCAUGUCGGUCGUGCCUCGGUACGUACUGGUAUUGUUGGUUUCUCCCUUCUGACGAACCAUGAUGUCAUUUAUUUGGUGUUGUGGGGAAUCAGGACUGUUACUUUGAAAAAAUUAGAGUGUUUAAAGCAGGCUCACGCUUGAAUACAUUAGCAUGGAAUAAUGAAAUAGGACGUUUGAUUCUAUUUUGUUGGUUUCCAGGAUCGACGUAAUGAUUAAUAGGGAUAGUUGGGGGCAUUAGUAUUCAAUUGUCAGAGGUGAAAUUCUUGGAUUUAUUGAAGACUAACUACUGCGAAAGCAUUUGCCAAGGAUGUUUUCAUUAAUCAAGAACGAAAGUUAGGGGAUCGAAGACGAUCAGAUACCGUCGUAGUCUUAACCAUAAACUAUGCCGACUAGGGAUCGGAUGAUGUUAAUUUUUUAAUGACUCAUUCGGCGCCUUACG